UACGGAGGGUGCAAGCGUUAUCCGGAUUCACUGGGUUUAAAGGGCGCGUAGGCGGCUUGGCAAGUCGGGGGUGAAAUCUUUCGGCUCAACCGGAAAAGUGCCUCCGAUACUGCCAGGCUCGAGGGGGAUAGGGGCGGACGGAACUUCCGGUGGAGCGGUGAAUGCGUUGAGUAUCGGAAGGGAACGCCGGUGGCGAAAGCGGUCCGCUGGGUCCCUACUGACGCUGAGGCGCGAAAGCCAGGGGAGCAAACGGG
RNAcentral lists this ribosomal RNA (254 nucleotides) under uncultured bacterium. RNAcentral describes it as "partial 16S ribosomal RNA". It matches the Rfam family "Bacterial small subunit ribosomal RNA", at positions 524 to 776 of the family's 1533-position model. The record is from RNAcentral.